AUGUACUGUCCCUUCUGUGGACACCUCUUGGCAGACAGUCCUGCCUUUUGUAGUCUAUGUGGUAAAAACAUCAAGUUUUUAAAGGACAUCACCAGCAUUGUGUCGAGAAAUCCUGCCCUUGGUGAAGAGGCAGCAGCUCUUCCAUCUACCAGUUCCAGCAUCCUGACUGGCACAACUAUACAGUCUACACAGGCUGGGAAAUCAUUAGUGGAGUCAUUUAGAAAAUUUAGGGAUGUUAAAGAAAGGGAGAGAAAGGCCUUUUUUUCAAAGAAACACCAGGAACAGAAGGAACAUAAACCAGUGAAGAUACAGAUUGGCAUCAUGACAAGGACCAGUGAUGGUAUAAGACCUGUUCGAGGAAAGUCACUUCCGGUUGAUGUUCAUUCUCACUGGUCAACUGAGCAAGUCUUGUCUGCCAGCGUGAAAAAACAUAAGGACUUUAACCAGGACAUGGCCGAUGGACCCUAUGUACUGCUAUACCCUGAUGCAAGGGAAGUUAGCACAAUUCCUGGAACCAACACCCCUUUCACCAUCCAAAAAUACAAGGAUGCCAUAGGGAAGGCCUAUCAAAGAAUAACUCUCUACAUUUGUAACCAUGAUGACUUCUUAAAUACUGAUUGCAACACAGAGUGUGAAUCUGAAGAGGACAAUGAAGUUCAAGUAAAAGUAGUAGAAAGCCCACUGUCGGACACUGUGGUAUGGGAUUUUCCAGAUAAUCACAGCACGCCGGAAACAGCACCUUCAACAAAUAGGUAA
RNAcentral lists this long non-coding RNA (756 nucleotides) under Oreochromis niloticus (Nile tilapia). Its description in RNAcentral is "lncRNA (ENSONIG00000025855.2)". The record is from RNAcentral. Lineage: Eukaryota; Metazoa; Chordata; Actinopteri; Cichliformes; Cichlidae.